AAGAAAUUGUGUUUACAACGGUAUUAUUUUGUAUGAAACGAGAGCCUUUUCUUUCACUCAGAAUAAAACCAUACCUUUCUCCUAAUUUUUCUUACGAAGAUCAAAAUCAAGAAACGACGACGAAACACUCCACCACUAAGAUUCCGUUUACUAUCAUUGUCUCAUCUCUUUUUUUUUUGGCAAAAACAUUGUCUCAUCUCUAUUUUUUGUUUUUUGGGUGUUUUCUAUCAUUAUCUCCUCUCUGGUUUUGAAUCCUUGGAACCCAAGAAAACGAAACCCAAAUCCCAAUCUUCAUCACUCAAUCUCUUGUGGUAAGAAAUUUCUUGGGUUUGAAGAGUUCAUAUGUUUGUUUACUCAGUUUCGGUUCCGUUUGUGAAACACCCAAUUGCUUUCUUAUUUCCUUUCGCAGUUCAAAAUUAAAAUCAAGAUAUCGAGAA
RNAcentral lists this small RNA (437 nucleotides) under Arabidopsis thaliana (thale cress). RNAcentral describes it as "ATSL220330". The record is from RNAcentral. Lineage: Eukaryota; Viridiplantae; Streptophyta; Magnoliopsida; Brassicales; Brassicaceae.